UACGUAGGGGGCAAGCGUUGUCCGGAUUUAUUGGGCGUAAAGAGCGUGUAGGCGGCCUGACAGGUCUGCUGUGAAAACUCGAGGCUCAACCUCGAGAUGUCGGCGGAAACCGUCUGGCUAGAGUCCGGAAGAGGAGAGUGGAAUUCCUGGUGUAGCGGUGAAAUGCGCAGAUAUCAGGAAGAACACCUAUGGCGAAGGCAGCUCUCUGGGACGGUACUGACGCUGAGACGCGAAAGCGUGGGGAGCGAACGGG
RNAcentral lists this ribosomal RNA (253 nucleotides) under uncultured bacterium. RNAcentral's name for it is "partial 16S ribosomal RNA". It matches the Rfam family "Bacterial small subunit ribosomal RNA", at positions 524 to 776 of the family's 1533-position model. The record is from RNAcentral.